Molecule: ribosomal RNA, 253 nt
Filed under: uncultured bacterium
Lineage: Bacteria
Description: partial 16S ribosomal RNA
Rfam family: Bacterial small subunit ribosomal RNA
Source: RNAcentral
UACGUAGGGUGCGAGCGUUAAUCGGAAUUACUGGGCGUAAAGCGUGCGCAGGCGGUUCGUUGUGUCGGCGGUGAAAGCCCCGGGCUUAACCUGGGAAUGGCCGUUGAAACUGGCGAACUGGAGUGUGGCAGAGGGGGGUGGAAUUCCGCGUGUAGUAGUGAAAUGCGUAGAGAUGCGGAGGAACACCGAUGGCGAAGGCAGCCCCCUGGGCUAACACUGACGCUCAGGCACGAAAGCGUGGAGAGCAAACAGG